UGAUGAUCCAUGCUGCUCUUUUCCAUGCUCGUUUCUUGUCACACAGCGCACUUCUGAUAUCUGGCAACAUGUGUGUUCGUGCUUCCGGAAACAAACACCUGAAUAUACGGACGAUGAACUGCUGCUUCUAGAAGUGAGCACGAAGAAGA
This is a long non-coding RNA of Entelurus aequoreus (snake pipefish), 149 nucleotides long. RefSeq lists it as uncharacterized. The transcript has 3 exons. The record is from RefSeq and is a predicted model, not a curated record. Lineage: Eukaryota; Metazoa; Chordata; Actinopteri; Syngnathiformes; Syngnathidae.